CCACGGCACCACCGCUCCUCUCUUGCAUCUCCAUCUUUCCCCUUUCAAUAGCCAUUGUACCACCACUUUUCUAUUCUCGUGUCAUUAUCUCUUCGUCCCUCGAUCCCCUCCAUCUAUUGCCGUCGCCAAUCCUCUCUCCAUCUCCAUCUCCCCCCCCCCAAGAUCGCCGCUGCCACUCGUCUAUCACAUCUCCAUCUACGCUCCAUCCGACUACCGCCGCCCCUCCUCUCUCACAUCUCCAUCUCCAUCCUUCCGCCCACCGCCGCCAUGGGUCGUACGCCUCGUGCCAUGCUACCAAUUGAAACGGAGAGGAACACAGAUCUAACCUAAUCCUUUAGUUGAUUAUCCGCCGCCAUCUAUCUCUACCGGUCGUCGCCACCUUCCUUGUCUUUGAUGCUAUCAUGGGUGGAUCUAUGUCAAUCCACCGCCGUGAGAGGUAAUCCACUUUCCUUCAUAUUAUUAGAUCUGCAUCUUGUGAUUGCCAUGUUAACCGUUAGAUCUAGUGUUGCUACCAGUGGGCAAAGCGCUUGAACCUCGCGACUAAUAGCAUUUUUUAAUGUGCAACCACUUUUUGUAGACACCGAAGCCAGUUAGCAGUUGAGAAGCGAUGACGGAGCCUAGGCGGUCACCUGACCUACCCGAGAGGUGGCUCCACCACUGGCUGCUACUUUUGAACCCUAAAGAUCCCAGAGGGGAUGGCCGAUGGUGAAGUAGGCAUGAUAGCCCUCUAAAUUUAGGUACUUAUCAUUGUGAUUAUUUAAGAUUGUUUCAGGCAAAACACUCAUAUAUAUCUUAUAUAUGUAGUACGUACAAUUUUGAGUAUGCAUUCACAGAGUAUUAGGUAAUACCCUUUGAAACUUUCUUCAAGUAGCAAGUUAGUUAAUGAAUUGAAACAGUAAACUUCAACUAAAAUUCUAAGCAAGCUUAGAAAUAGGCAAAAAUAUAUGGUAGAAGUGAUAAGAAUCAUCUUUCACUAGGGUGUAAUAGAAACACUCAUUUAACAACCACUUUUGUAUAUAUGGUCAUCUGUUAAUUCUCUAGCUUUCAAAGAAAUAGAUAGAUAUGGCAAAUAUCUCCUGUUUUAAUAUGCAAGGCUUGCUAGCGUUUGGUAUAACCUUUUUGUUUGUAUAAUAGACAAGUAUUAGUGUGUAACUCUGUAUGUAUUGCACAUAGCUGUAAGUGGAAAUGGUCAUAAAUAAAAACUAAGGCAGUGGGCUGUAAGAAUAUCUCCUAUAAUUUUCUCACUGUAUUUUAUUUAUUUCAGGAGUACAGCCGAGAGUUAUAAAUGAGGUGCCAACUGCCAAGUAUGAUGGUGUCUUCACAUGGAACGGCAAUUUGGUAAGUUACAUCUGACGCCUUGCUUGCUUACCAUUUCUCAUAUUAUAAUUUUCUCGUGAUUAUAUGCUGAAAGAAUAAGGUCAUUUAACCAACAAUAUAAG
This 1439-nucleotide long non-coding RNA is filed under the name Oryza sativa (Asian cultivated rice). RNAcentral's name for it is "long non-coding RNA (OSAT_LNC001777)". The record is from RNAcentral. Lineage: Eukaryota; Viridiplantae; Streptophyta; Magnoliopsida; Poales; Poaceae.